CGGUCGAGCGGAGGACAUUAUCGAGUUUUGAGUGGGCCUCUUGAGCUGGCAUUGCAGGUGCUUAGAGGUUCCCACUCCCAUCCUCUCAACCCCUGUGCACUUCUGAGCGCAAGUGAGUGGUCAGUCUUCUUUCCCCUUAUGAAAGGAGGGGAGACCAGUCUUUCAAGCUGGUAUUGACUUGAUGCUUACUUCGUUUGUUAUUAACUCUUAUAAUGUCUUGUAGAAUGCAUUGCCUCUCUGCAGGCGAAAUGUAAUACAACUUUCAACAACGGAUCUCUUGGCUCUCGCAUCGAUGAAGAACGCAGCGAAAUGCGAUAAGUAAUGUGAAUUGCAGAAUUCAGUGAAUCAUCGAAUCUUUGAACGCACCUUGCGCUCCUUGGUAUUCCGAGGAGCAUGUCUGUUUGAGUGUCAUGUUAUUCUCAAUCCCUUUGGUUUUUAAAUGAACCUCUGGGUUUGGUAUUGGAGGUCUAUGCUGGUUUUACAGUCGGCUCCUCUUGAAUAUAUUAGCUGGGUUUUUGCUCGAUGCAAUGGUGUAAUAAUUAUCUUCACCGAUGCAACUUGCAAUUAAAGCUUGCUUCUAAUUGUCUUAAUCCGAGACAUUAUAAGGGCAAUGGUCCUUUGAUAUCUUUGACCUCAAAUCAGAUAGGACUACCCGCUGAACUUAAGAU
This 668-nucleotide ribosomal RNA is filed under the name Fuscoporia torulosa. RNAcentral's name for it is "eukaryotic LSU rRNA". The stretch from base 258 to 411 matches the Rfam family "5.8S ribosomal RNA". The record is from RNAcentral. Lineage: Eukaryota; Fungi; Basidiomycota; Agaricomycetes; Hymenochaetales; Hymenochaetaceae.